Molecule: unclassified non-coding RNA, 211 nt
Filed under: uncultured fungus
Lineage: Eukaryota; Fungi
Description: sequence contains ITS1
Source: RNAcentral
GUGUUAUAUUGUGUUGUGGUAUGUUUAGACCAAAGUUAAUCAGGAGAUAAUGUUGGAGCGUGUGCCGUUGGCGGGAAGGGAAGGCUAUCCCCUUUCCCGCCAACAACUCUCCGCGCUGGAAACGAUUCACACAAGAUUGGUUGGGGCACGUGCAGUCGCCCGCACGCGCCCCGAAUCAGUGAUGAUCCUUCCGCAGGUUCACCUACGGAAA